This 3133-nucleotide long non-coding RNA is filed under the name Fragaria vesca (wild strawberry). RNAcentral's name for it is "long non-coding RNA (FVES_LNC003546)". The record is from RNAcentral. Lineage: Eukaryota; Viridiplantae; Streptophyta; Magnoliopsida; Rosales; Rosaceae.
UUUUUGGUAUAUCCUCAAUAUCUCUGUAUUUAUAAAAAUAAUGACCGAUAUAUCUUGAAAAUAAAUAUCAUAUCUUCUACCGUAUUUAUAAAAUUUCUUCGAAAAUAUCAAAUAUCUCUGAUAUAUAAGAUAUUUAAGGUAUGUCUCUAAUACUUUUUUCUUUUUUUCUUUAAAAAAAAGAGUUAAUCAUGACUUGAUAAAAAUAGACAUUACAUACUCUAUUGUUACUGUCUACACUAUCGUUACUAUCUACAGAUAGACAAAUAAAAACGAGUUACGACUCAUAAUAAUACAUAAAAUAGACUACUCAUUAAUCAUAUUCACACUACUAGAAAAAGUCACUUACACUACAAAAAGUCACUUACACUACAAAAAGAAAGGCUUUAGCCGACGAAAAUAAAAAACCAGGCCGACGAAUUAUUUUUUCGUCUGCUAAAGUGGACUUUAGCCGACAAAAUUUCCCUUCGUCGGCUAUGGUCAACUUUAGCCGACGAAAAAUAUAAUUUCGUCGGCUAAAGUGCCUUAUAUUUGCAGAUCUAGACAUCAACUCAUCUGGGAAAAAAAACUAUACGUAAAACCUUCAAACAUAAAAAAGUCGUGCAAUAAGAUAUGACCAAAAUGGUGAAAUACGUCUACAGUUGAAAAAUCACGGUAUUCCGGUAAAGUCUCGGUGCCGAUAGUUGCGGUCAAUGCAAUUUACCCUUAUUAUUCACUAUGCUGCAAAUUUGGCGUUUGGUGUCCGAUUGACUAUUGUGAUACCUUUCCGGAAGCGUAACGGCCCUACGAGUCAAACUCAUCGCUAAUGUCAUGACAUAUGGGCCUUUUUGGCCAUCCGAGUCUGUUUAGGGCUUCAAAAUGUAGUUUUCUUAUUUCCGAUUAGAGUUGACCGUUUCGAUCGAGCCCUUAACGUUGUCGAAUCCAGUUGAAUUUUUUACCAAAGACAUCUUUCGUCAUAAUGAUCAUAUCUGACGGUCGAAUUUUGGUUUGUGAAUUUUAGUCAUCGGAAUCACAACGUGUCUACUAUUUACCGUUAUUAUUCCCUAUAGAGAACCCUAUCGUCGGAAGGUAAAUGUCUCAAAAUUUUUAUAUGGGCAGUUGCGUCUCAUCUACGUGAGAGUUUUUUGUGUAGAAGGUUUGACCAAACUACAUAAUAUAGAGGGAGAUAUGAGCGUUUUCGUGUGAUAAAUGACGAUUGAUUAGGGUUGACCGUUUGGAUCGAGCCCUUAACAUUGUCGAAUCCAGUUGAAUUUUUUACCAUAGAAAUAUUUCGGCAUAAUGAUCAUAUCUAACGGUAAAAUUUUGGUUUGUGAAUUUUAGUUAUCGGAAUCACAACGUGUCUACUAAUGUUGUAUAAUUUGUUUAGUAGGUUAUACAACUUUGUGAACCAACUCUACAUAGGAUGAAAAAUUAUCAAAAAUCUCGUGAAAUAAGAUGUGUUCAUAAUGGUGAAAUACGGCUAUGGUUCAAAAAUCACGUAAAUCGGGUAACGUCUCGGUGCCGAUACUAGCGGUCAACCCUAUUUACAAUUAUUAUUCCCUAUGGGGAGCCCUAUCGUCGGAAGGUAAAUGUCUCAAAAAUUUUAUAUAGGCCGUUGCGUCUCAUCUACGUGAAAGUUUUUCGUGUGGAAGGUUUGACCAAACUACGUAAUAUAGAGGGAGAUAUGAGCGUUUUCGUGAAUAUUAAAAAAGUCGUCAGCUAAGGUCGAAAAAUUUUCAAAAUUUUUUGGCAGUAAACCAAAUUUGGAGGAAAAUUUUCAAAGGACUUUAGCCGACGAAAAUAUAUGAAAAGUCGUCGGCUAAAGUCGAAAAAUUUUCAACCAACAUUUUUUUGCGGUUAACCAAUAUUUUUAAAAGAGUUUAGCCGACGAAAAUAAAUAAUUUCGUCGGGUAAAGUUCUUUAUAUAGGAGUUUUACCGGAGGUGGAUGGUAAGAAGUCAGAAAAUCCGAAAAAGUUCAGGAUUUUCUUCUCGGCCUAGCUUCGCAGUCAAGCCACCGGAGACCGCCACACUUGUCCCAAAAGCUUCGCCGUCGUCUCUACUUCAUUGCUGGACAGGUGGUGUAUAGAGUGGCGCCGCCGUGAGGGAUAAAUCGAGCUCCAAAACUCCGCCGGUUCGGAUUUGGUGUCGAUUGAAUUUCUCCUUGCUCAGGUCACCAUUUGGUGAGUUCUAUAUAUGGAUAAGUUGAGUUGAUUAGUAUUACAUUCCCCUAGAAUUUUGUAGCUCGAUUCGGUGUGUGUGAGGAGAAUUGAAGACUUGAAGUUUUUAGGGUUUAAAAUUGGGGAUUUUUAUAUUUUGAUUCAAUUGACCUGUUUAGGCUUAGAAUUGGGCUUCAACUUCUUCUAAAAAGUUGUUCGAAAUGUUGAGAGGAAGAUUCUGUCAAAUUUUGGUGGUGAUUGGAGGUGGCUGAAAGUUUCUGCAUUUUUUUUUUUUCAAAAACCAGCAACUUUAGCCGACGAUAUUUAAAGGUUUAUUCGUCGGCUAUAGUAUUUUUAAAUUUUUUUAUAAGGUUUAGCCGACGAAUUAUGGCAUAUUUCGUCGGCUAUAGUUAUUUUUUUAAAUUUUUUAUAUGGUUUAGCCGACGAAUUAGACUAUAUUUCGUCCGUUAUAGUUAUUUUUUAAAAUUUUUAUAAGGUUUAGUCGACGAAACAGAUUAUAUUUCGUCGGCUAAAGUCUGGGAAAAAAAAACGACGACAUGUUUUUCAUCGGCUAAACUGUGGGACUAUAGCCGACGAAAUUUUUUUUCGUCGGCUAAAAUCAUCGCCGACGAAAUUUUAGCCGACGAAUUAAGCUAACAGGCCGACGAAACUUUUUCGUCGGCUAAAGUGUUUGUCUUGGUAGUGUUAGGAGACGGAAGUUAAAAAAUUUCGUAGCCUAAGUUCCACUUAGGAGACGAAAUACAAUUCCGAAGCCUAAGUACUCUCCUAGGCGACGGAAUAAUAUUCCGUCCUAAGUGUUACUUAGGCUACGGAAAUUUUUACUUAGGAGAAGGAAUGGUAUUCCGUCUUCUAAGUAAAGCUUAGGAGACGAAAUUUUUUUACUUAAGAGACGAAAUUAUUUUUUUUUAAAAUUUAAAAAAAUAUUAACCACUUAAGAGAUUGAAUGUUAUUCCGUUUUCUAAGUAGAGCUUAGGGGACA